GGUCGAAAGAGGAAAUUCAUUCGCGUUUCGACUGUCGAAGUUGGAUGUUUGUAUGACGGAUAGCGUUUCGGCGUCGUCCGCUUCUUAUAUUCUUCGUGUCGAUGUCGAACGCGUGCACUUUUCCUCUAGUAGGACGUCGCGAUCCGUUGGGUGUCUGUCUAAGACUCGAGGUGGAGCCCGCGUAAUUUUUAAUUAUGCGGACCCUUGGUGUUCCGACAGACUCACUCGACGGUAUACUAAUGGCGCGGGGCCGCUACUUUAGUUAGCGUUCGGCCCGUAGCAAGCACGUUCUGUGUUUGACGGCGAUCGGACCUGGUGCCGAUUCUGUCCCAGAACGACUGUUGGUUACGGUGUUCUCGAACAGACCUCGU
RNAcentral lists this ribosomal RNA (371 nucleotides) under Diabrotica undecimpunctata. Its description in RNAcentral is "eukaryotic LSU rRNA". The record is from RNAcentral. Lineage: Eukaryota; Metazoa; Arthropoda; Insecta; Coleoptera; Chrysomelidae.